This is a long non-coding RNA of Rhinichthys klamathensis goyatoka, 400 nucleotides long. RefSeq lists it as uncharacterized. The transcript is spliced from 2 exons. NCBI's taxonomy places the organism in Eukaryota, Metazoa, Chordata, Actinopteri, Cypriniformes, Leuciscidae. The record is from RefSeq and is a predicted model, not a curated record.
UGAUCCUCAACAAACUCGUCUCCAUUGCGGCGUGAUGACUCCGACUUCCAACCAGAUGGAACUGGAUUAAUAUUCUGAAUGUUCUGAUUCAAUCUGACUUCUGACCUGUAAUGCUGCCUGGAUCAUAAUCAUACACUGUUCGCUCGUUGGCCAGAGGAGAACUGGCCCCCGACUGAGCCUGGGUUCUCCCAAGGUUUUUUUCUCCAUCCAAUCUGAUGGAGUUUUGGUUCCUUGCCACUGUCGCCUUGCUUUUGGCUUGCUUAGUUGGGGAUAUUUAAUAUUCAACAAUAUUAUUGAACUGUGUUGUACUACUUUCAUGUUAUCACUGUGAAGCUGCUUUGAUGCAAUCUGUAUUGUGAAAAGCGCUAUAUAAAUAAAUGUGACUUGACUUGACUUCAUU